Molecule: ribosomal RNA, 630 nt
Filed under: uncultured bacterium
Lineage: Bacteria
Description: bacterial SSU rRNA
Rfam family: Bacterial small subunit ribosomal RNA
Source: RNAcentral
CUAAUACUGCAUAAGAUUACAGUACCGCAUGAUACAGUGAUCAAAGGAGCAAUCCGCUGAAAGAUGGGCUCGCGUCCGAUUAGAUAGUUGGUGAGGUAACGGCUCACCAAGUCGACGAUCGGUAGCCGGACUGAGAGGUUGAACGGCCACAUUGGGACUGAGACACGGCCCAGACUCCUACGGGAGGCAGCAGUGGGGAAUAUUGCACAAUGGGCGAAAGCCUGAUGCAGCAACGCCGCGUGAGGGAAGACGGUUUUCGGAUUGUAAACCUCUGUUUUCGGUGACGAAUAAAUGACGGUAACCGAGUAGGAAGCCACGGCUAACUACGUGCCAGCAGCCGCGGUAAUACGUAGGUGGCAAGCGUUAUCCGGAAUUACUGGGUGUAAAGGGAGCGCAGGCGGGAUAGCAAGUCAGUUGUGAAAACUAUGGGCUCAACCCAUAGAUUGCAGUUGAAACUGUUAUUCUUGAGUGGAGUAGAGGCAAGCGGAAUUCCGAGUGUAGCGGUGAAAUGCGUAGAUAUUCGGAGGAACACCAGUGGCGAAGGCGGCUUGCUGGGCUCUAACUGACGCUGAGGCUCGAAAGUGUGGGGAGCAAACAGGAUUAGAUACCCUGGUAGUCCACACUGUAAAC